GACGAACGCUGGCGGCGUGCUUAACACAUGCAAGUCGAACGGAAAGGCCCUGCUGUUGUGGGGUGCUCGAGUGGCGAACGGGUGAGUAACACGAGAGUAACCUGCCCUUGACUUUGGGAUAACUUCAGGAAACUGGGGCUAAUACCGGAUAGGAGCUCCUGCAGCAAGGUGGGGGUUGGAAAGUUUCGGCGGUUGGGGAUGGACUCGCGGCUUAUCAGCUUGUUGGUGGGGUAGUGGCUUACCAAGGCUUUGACGGGUAGCCGGCCUGAGAGGGUGACCGGCCACCUUGGGACUGGGAUACGGCCCCUACUCCUACGGGAGGCAGCAGUGGGGAAUAUUGCACCAUGGGCGGAAGCCUGAUGCAGCAACGCCGCGUGCGGGAUGACGGCCUUCGGGUUGUAAACCGCUUUCGCCUGUGACGAAGCGUGAGUGACGGUACUGAGUAAAGAAGCACCGGCUAACUACGUG
RNAcentral lists this ribosomal RNA (468 nucleotides) under uncultured bacterium. RNAcentral's name for it is "partial 16S ribosomal RNA". It matches the Rfam family "Bacterial small subunit ribosomal RNA", at positions 28 to 507 of the family's 1533-position model. The record is from RNAcentral.